This 524-nucleotide ribosomal RNA is filed under the name uncultured Bacteroidota bacterium. Its description in RNAcentral is "SSU rRNA". It matches the Rfam family "Bacterial small subunit ribosomal RNA", at positions 340 to 863 of the family's 1533-position model. The record is from RNAcentral. Lineage: Bacteria; Pseudomonadati; Bacteroidota.
UACGGGAGGCAGCAGUAGGGAAUCUUGGUCAAUUGGCGAAAGCCAGAACCAGUCAUGCCGCGUGCAGGAUGAAGGCCCUACGGGUCGUAAACUGCUUUUAUUCGGGAAGAAAAAGUCUGUUUUCACAGACCUUGACGGUACCGAUUGAAUAAGGACCGGCCAACUCCGUGCCAGCAGCCGCGGUAAUACGGAGGGUCCAAGCGUUAUCCGGAUUCACUGGGUUUAAAGGGUGCGCAGGCGGCUAAGUAAGUCAGUGGUGAAAGCCUUCGGCUCAACCGGAGAAUUGCCAUUGAAACUACUUAGCUUGAGUGCAGUAGAGGUAGGCGGAAUGUAGCAUGUAGCGGUGAAAUGCAUAGAUAUGCUACAGAACACCGAUAGCGAAAGCAGCUUACCACACUGUAACUGACGCUGAGGCACGAAAGCAUGGGUAGCAAACAGGAUUAGAUACCCUGGUAGUCCAUGCCGUAAACUUUGAACACUCGGAGUUUGCCACCCAGUGGUAAGCUCCCUAGCGAAAGCGUUAA